AUUUAAAUAGCUUAAUUAGAGCAAAGUAUUGAAGAUGCUUAGGUCAUAUUUUUAUGUUUAAAUA
Molecule: transfer RNA, 64 nt
Filed under: Scydmaeninae sp. 840218
Lineage: Eukaryota; Metazoa; Arthropoda; Insecta; Coleoptera; Staphylinidae
Description: tRNA-Phe
Source: RNAcentral